Long non-coding RNA from Prosopis cineraria, 620 nucleotides. RefSeq lists it as uncharacterized. The record is from RefSeq and is a predicted model, not a curated record. Lineage: Eukaryota; Viridiplantae; Streptophyta; Magnoliopsida; Fabales; Fabaceae. The transcript is spliced from 3 exons.
UGAAUUUCAUUUUUCCCUUUCCAGUUUCCAUCUUUCCUUUCCAAAGCUCCAAGCCUCCACCCUUCUGCUGCAGUCGCGCAGCCACAGAGAUAGAGCAGACCUUCAGUCCUUCCAACGCACAAAGACAAGAGCUGCACAAAUCGCAUAACUCCAUGCCUCUGCCUUCAGGACCUCGACCACACCUCCGUCUCCACCUCCACGCGACACGAUUGCAAGGUAUUUGCUGCCUGCCUCAACCUAAAUCUCCACCCAAAUCUCUGUCCCAGGCUUCCAGCUUUGCCUCAUAUUUCCACAGCUAUUAUUCUCUUCAACCCAUAUAUGGUGCUACCUCAAAUCCAUCGUUCUCCUCCUCGUCCUUAGAUCUGCAAAGCUAAAAGGUCUUGAUGCGAGUAAUUUUAAUGAUACAAAGCAAGCCAUGCAAGAAGAAUCAUUAGCUUCAAAUAUCUCAGUUAAAGAGGAAGAACAAUGACUUGAAGUUGAAGUUGAAGUUGUGCUUGGGGCUUAAGUUGUUGAUUAUUGACUUGUUGCACUUAUUGCUUAGAAGUUACUUGUAUUUGUUAAAUUGCAUUUUCUGAAUUGUUGUUAUUUUUUGUCUUAUGAAUGCUACUGCUGAAAUGUUG